UAGAAAGUGGUGUAGUGGAAGCACUGAGAGUUUUGAUCUCUCUGGGUUGGGUUCGAGCCCCUUCUUUCUAAGUCUGA
RNAcentral lists this transfer RNA (77 nucleotides) under Carinotetraodon travancoricus. RNAcentral describes it as "tRNA-Gln". It matches the Rfam family "tRNA". Rfam says of the family: Transfer RNA (tRNA) molecules are approximately 80 nucleotides in length. The record is from RNAcentral. Lineage: Eukaryota; Metazoa; Chordata; Actinopteri; Tetraodontiformes; Tetraodontidae.